RNAcentral lists this ribosomal RNA (383 nucleotides) under uncultured bacterium. RNAcentral's name for it is "bacterial SSU rRNA". It matches the Rfam family "Bacterial small subunit ribosomal RNA", at positions 362 to 758 of the family's 1533-position model. The record is from RNAcentral.
UAUUGGGCAAUGGAGGAAACUCUGACCCAGCGACGCCGCGUGCGGGAUGAAGGCCUUCGGGUUGUAAACCGCUUUCAGCAGGGAAGAAGCGAGAGUGACGGUACCUGCAGAAGAAGCACCGGCUAACUAUGUGCCAGCAGCCGCGGUAAUACAUAGGGUGCAAGCGUUGUCCGGGAUUAUUGGGCGUAAAGAGCUCGUAGGUGGUUCGUCACGUCGGAUGUGAAAAUCUGGGGCUUAACCCCAGACCUGCAUUCGAUACGGGCGAGCUAGAGUGUGGUAGGGGAGACUGGAAUUCCUGGUGUAGCGGUGGAAUGCGCAGAUAUCAGGAGGAACACCGAUGGCGAAGGCAGGUCUCUGGGCCAUUACGACAGCGAGGAGCGAAU